This 1730-nucleotide ribosomal RNA is filed under the name human gut metagenome. Its description in RNAcentral is "bacterial LSU rRNA". It matches the Rfam family "Bacterial large subunit ribosomal RNA", at positions 487 to 2308 of the family's 2925-position model. The record is from RNAcentral.
AUAGCGCAUAGUACUGUGAAGGAAAGGUGAAAAGGACCCCGGGAGGGGAGUGAAAGAGAACCUGAAACCUUGUGCCUACAAGCACAUAGAGCCCGUCAAAGGGUGAUAUGGUACUUUUUGUAGAACGGUCCGGCGAGCGAUUGUACGUUGCGAGCUUAAGGUCUUAAGGACUGGAGGCGUAGCGAGAGCGAGUCUAAACAGGGCGUUUAGUAGCGUGCAAUGGGCCCGAAACCGGGUGACCUACCCAUGAUCAGGCUGAAGUGAAAGUAAAAUUUCAUGGAGGGCCGAACCGACCUCCGUUGAAAAGGCGGCGGAUGAAUUGUGGGUAGCGGAGAAAUUCCAAUCGAACUCGGAGAUAGCUGGUUCUCCCCGAAAUAGCUUUAGGGCUAGCCUCAUGUUAGAUUUCCGGAGGUAAAGCACUGAAUGGCCUAGCGUCCGAGAGGAUAGCGAAGCCUAUCAAACUAAGAAUGCCGGAAUAUUGAUGCAUGGGAGUCAGACAGUGUGAGAUAAAUCUCAUUGUCAAAAGGGAAACAGCCCAGAUCUACAGCUAAGGUCCCAAAUUGUAUCUAAGUGGAAAACGAUGUGGAAAUACGCAGACAACCAGGAUGUUGGCUCAGAAGCAGCCACUCAUUUAAAGAGUGCGUAAUAGCUCACUGGUCGAGCGUCUCUGCGCGGAAAAUUUAACGGGGCUAAGAUACAAACCGAAGCUUAGGCUGCACUUUUAGUGCGGGGUAGGGGAGCGUUGUGUAAGCGGAGAAACGAUAGCGUAAGCGGUCGUGGAGUUUACAGAAGUGAGAAUGCCGGAAUGAGUAGCGCGAAUGAUGUGAGAAUCAUCAUGGCCGGAAACCUCAGGUUUUUGGAGGAAGGUUCGUCCGCUCCAAGUUAGGCGGGAGCUAAGGUGAGGCCGAAAGGCGUAGCCGAUGCACAGACGGUAGAGAUUCCGUCCCCACCGAAAGAUUUAAGCGCAGGGACACUUUUAGAAGGUCGGAGCCAGGUGUUGGUUCUGGUAGAGAUCGAGGGAAAUUUAGUACCGAAGUCCGGCUGGAUAAGAGGCGAGAAAAGCUGCGUGUAUAUCUAAGGUGCCCGUACCGCAAACCGACACAGGUAGGUAGGAAGAAGAUUCUAAGGCCAACGGGAGAAGGGUUGUUAAGGAACUCGGCAAGUUGACCCCGUAACUUCGGAAUAAGGGGUGCUCAUGAAAGUGAGCCGCAGAGAAUAGGCCCAGGCAACUGUUUACCAAAAACACAGGUUUGUGCUAAAUCGAAAGAUGACGUAUACGAGCUGACGCCUGCCCGGUGCUGGAAGGUUAAAAGGAGAUGUGCAAGCAUUGAAUUGAAGCCCCAGUGAACGGCGGCCGUAACUAUAACGGUCCUAAGGUAGCGAAAUUCCUUGUCAGGUAAGUUCUGACCCGCACGAAAGGCGUAAUGAUUUGGGCACUGUCUCAACAGCCCGCCCGGCGAAAUUGUAGUACCGGUGAAGAUGCCGGUUACCCGCGACAAGACGGAAAGACCCCAUGGAGCUUUACUGUAGCCUAAUAUUGGGUUUCGAUGUUGCAUGCACAGGAUAGAUGGGACACUGGGAAGCAGGUGCUUUGGCGCUUGUGGAGUGGCCGUUGGGAUACCAUCCUUGCGAUAUUGGAAUUCUAACCUGCGCCUUUGAAUCAAGGCGGGGGACAUUGUUAGGUGGGCAGUUUGACUGGGGCGGUCGCCUCCUAAAGAGUAACGGAGGCG